RNAcentral lists this ribosomal RNA (3156 nucleotides) under Triticum aestivum (bread wheat). RNAcentral's name for it is "partial small subunit ribosomal RNA". The record is from RNAcentral. Lineage: Eukaryota; Viridiplantae; Streptophyta; Magnoliopsida; Poales; Poaceae.
AUGUUAAGAAAGAUUACUCCAUUUCGGAGUAUUGCUGCAACAGACGUCGAUGGCGCUAGAGAAGAAGUACUUGAUAUUGUUCAGAAAAACAUUGACCAGAAUAUCAUUUAUUUUGAUGGCUGGAGUGGUUUUGGGGCAGCGGCAGUGCUUAGAUCCAUAGCACAAGCAGUUCCAGCAAUGAAAGCUCCUCCCCCAGAAUUACAGUUUGGUAGAACAAUUUACAUAGAUUGUUCGACCUGGAUAAGCAAAAGGGUGAUGCAGAGAAGAAUUGCAGAGCAGCUAAAACUUGACCGUGCCACCAUGGCCUUGUUUGACAAGCAGGAUGAGGAGGAUGACAUCGAUGGGGUGGACCAAGGCUCCAGGGAUGUGAUAUGGAAGGUUGCUGCAAUAAUUGACCAAACCCUGAGAGAAAGUAGAUUUCUGAUGAUUUUUCUUAAUGGAAGUGACGAGGAGGUUUUCUUAAGCCAGUUUGGUAUUCCAGAAUAUCACUGCAUAAUAAUAUGGGCUUUUAGAAGAUGUCUUUUUACCAUUCAUGACCCCAGCAAGAUACUAGAUAAGUCAAGAUAUGUACGUCUUUUCAUUACCUGCAACUACUGGGCCAUCAAUUUGACAAGUUCACAGAUUUAUGCAGUGUUUCGUGAAGAGACUGAUAGCAUAGUUGCAUGCUACCCAUGUAUGUGGGACAUCGACCCAACAGUGGUUACAGUUUGUUGUCUCUACAGAUUACUAAUGCAGCACAUUUUCCAGAGCAAGACUAUAUUUGCUUGGACUUCAGCUCAUGCUCCCAAGUAUUGGAUGUGUGAUGGCAUCAUUCAAGGGAGUAGAGCAAAGGAGAUAAGUAAUGUGUUGCAGAAAGAAAUAAGUUUUUCUGAGUGUGAUGCCUAUAGACACAAGGUGGUGUGUGACAAAUUCAAGGAAGAUCCGAAGAAUCCUUUAGUGGUGGUUACAGAUGACAAUAUGCCUUUCAGAAAGGGGUCUCCCCGUUGGGUUUCCAUCACCUUGAAAUACAAGAAACUACAGGAGGAUACAAAAACUCUACUGGCAAGGGCAUCAUCCAUCUUCAUACAAUUUCAAGAAACUAAUAGCUCGUCUGGAUUACCAAAUGGCUUGUUUCAAGGUUGCAACAACCUUGCAGUGCUUACUCUGUCUUAUUGUUCCUUCAGUUUUGCAUCACCUCCUUUCCUCCACUGUGAAAAAUUAAGAUUCCUUGGAUUAGACCACUGCACAGAUCUCAAUAAGACUAAGCUUGAAGAACAGAACUGCAUCACCAAUUGGACAUGUCUGCAUAGCCUGUGUGUGCUUGACCUACACUACACAUGUUGGGAAGAGAUUUUAUCGGAGGAAAAGGUGGAUCUUAUGGCCAACAUAUUGGAGCUAAACAUAGAGGGAGUCAGGGGUUGGCAGUACACGAACAAAUUACAGAAAAGGCUGCCUUACCUUCAAAGGCUCCGAAUUAUCAAACCUCCAUGUCAAGCCAACAAGACAUCAAUGGACAUCAACGAGUCAUUUAGAGACAAGACAAAGCUAGAAAUACUUGAUUUUUCUGGUAACAGUGACAUGGAAAACCUACCAACAAGCCUGUCAAUGGCAAGAAAACUUGAGGCGCUUGUUCUUGAUGGUUGUUGUGGGCUAGAAAAUGUUGUGCUGGCUAACUCCUCUCUGAGGUCAUUCAGUUUUGAUGCUUAUGGAGCAGCAUCCCAAUGGACAUCAGCCACUGAGCUACUAGCUCCAGAAAGUUCUCGCCCAAAGUGUUCAUCUGCUAAUGUAGAUAAGAAGGAUGUCAAAACCUCCAAGAUAUCCCUGGAAGGGUGCGCACAGUUGGAAAAUUUGUUUUUGCGUGAGCUACCCAAUCUAGUGGAGCUAGACCUUUCAGGAUGUGUAAUCAAGGUAUUUGACUUCAAAACUAUGGUGGUGGAUGUUCCAAAUCUCAAAAGACUCUUUCUAUUGGGUUGUGAGCACCUUUGUUCAAUAAGGUGGGGCUCAUUUGCAGAUGUGCAAGCACAGAAGCUGGAGUUGCUCUGUAUAGACACACGGCCAUGUCUUGGGAAGGUACUUCGGCCAUCAAUUGUGCAGCAUAAAUUCCGGUUGCAAGUCCAUGCUAUUAUUGCGGAUGCUAGGUUUGCUCGGUCAUUGGCAUCUCUGAUACUUGGUACACUGCCAAUGGCCGGUGCUUACUGUUUUAAUAUCAGCAUCACCUCUCCAAGUGUCUCUGCGGGGGUUGCUCAACCUGAAGAACCCAACAGUGGAAAUAUUGUUGUAGCGGCAGCGGCACCCUAUGGUGAUAUCUGCAAUGAGGUUGGCCCGGUGUGGGACUUCCCACAGCCUCCAACAUCACAGUUGGACCGUCAUAUUGAGAUUGGUGAUGGGAGCUGUGGUGUGGAGAGUGAAUUGCAAUUGCAUAGAUAUUAUUCGUUACCUUCUGUGAUGAGAGAGUUUGCCCAGUCCUUGCAUGUGCAUGAUUCUUCUAUUAGAGGCCAUGCCAUGCCUGCAGGUUCUAUGGAGCGCCUUAGGUGGUGCCGAGUGGAGAGGUGCCCCAACUUGGACACUGUCUUUCCUCGUGGUGGAUAUGCCUAUGAAAUGGUAGGUUGCCCUUAUCUGGAGAUCAUCUGGGCAUCACAUCUCUUGAUGGGCCGUUGCAUUUGGAUGAAAGGCUCCAGCUAUGGUUACGACUUCACAAGUCUGCAACAUCUGCACCUUCAUUCAUGCCCAAGCCUGGAGUACGCGCUUCCAGUAUGCAAGGGUAGCUCCUUCCCCAGCUUGAAGACCCUCUACAUCAUCCGCUGCGGCGGCCUCGUGCACGUAUUUGUGCAAACCAGCAAGGAGCAUCCUCCUAGCAGCAGCGUCGAGUUCCCGAAGCUGACCACGAUCCACCUGCACGACCUGCCGUCGCUGCAGCAGGUAUGCGAGGCCGCCGAGACACAGGCGCCCGCACUGGAGAGCACAAGGAUCAGGGGAUGCUGGAGCUUGUGCCGGCUGCCGGCCUUGAUGGGCCGCGAGCCAGGCAUGAGGAGGCCGGCGGUGGAGAUAGAGAAGGACGUGUGGGACGCUCUGGAGUGGGGCGGCGUGGACUCGGGGCACCACCCUUCCCUCUACGAGGCGCCCGUGCAGUCGCGGCACUACAAGAGGCCCAUGCCCAGGGGCACCGUUCUCAGGUGA